UGGAGGUGUUUUGUAAAGAUUGGCCUACAGAGGGUGCUAGCUCACUUCAAGAAAAAAAAAAAAAAAAAAAAAAAAAAAAAAAAAAAAAAACAACUAAAAGAGCCAAGGAGCUGCCCUGGAGCCUGGGAAGAAAAAGCAAGGCAAUCAGGGAGAUGUAACAACUGAAGAGAGGUUUAUAGCUUCACAAUUUCUUUUUUGCUUUAAAACCAAAGUGAAUGAAAGAGUAAAAUAAUACAUCGAUUUGUGAAGAGACACAGGAAGUCCUCUCCUGAAGAAAAGCAAUGGCAUUGGGGCUGAGUCUUUCAGUCCAAGGAGAAGCCAGAUGAGGAGACGAUGCAGGAGAGGAGGCAGGCCACCGGCACUGGAAGAACAAUCUCCCCCAAGGCAGCAGCAAAACAUAGAAGGACAACUUGGACCUUCCUCCACCAUCCUGCAUAGAAGCUGAAUAAAGGAAUUCUCCAAUCUAUCUUGUCUGAGAGUGGGUCCCCAAGGGGUCCUGCCCUAUACCCAGGAGGAAGGACUGCUUCCCAAAGGGACCAAGAAGGCUCAGAAUGGACAGGUCUUCCUGAAUUUCCUCCAAGUCAGACCAAUACAUUUCUAAACUGCUGUCAAUUCUGCACUUAACAUGUGUGUGUAUGUGUGUGUGUGU
Molecule: long non-coding RNA, 649 nt
Filed under: Cricetulus griseus (Chinese hamster)
Lineage: Eukaryota; Metazoa; Chordata; Mammalia; Rodentia; Cricetidae
Description: lncRNA (ENSCGRG00000025719.1)
Source: RNAcentral